This is a long non-coding RNA of Drosophila novamexicana, 219 nucleotides long. RefSeq lists it as uncharacterized. The transcript has 3 exons. NCBI's taxonomy places the organism in Eukaryota, Metazoa, Arthropoda, Insecta, Diptera, Drosophilidae. The record is from RefSeq and is a predicted model, not a curated record.
AUUUUAGUUUAUACUAAAAUGUUUUCUAUUUUCCAGCAAAAUCAACAUCGCCUGCGAAUGAAUCAGUCAAUGGUUCCCAGAUGAACCUAUAAUGCUUGGUCAAUCACACAUAAGGUUUUAAUUGGCUGCUGCUGCACCGAUAUGAAACCUUUAUGUUGGUCGUGCUCAGUACGAAUCGAAAGAGGCAGAAGGAAGCAUCCCCGACCCCAUUGGAAGAAG